RNAcentral lists this unclassified non-coding RNA (336 nucleotides) under Persicaria lapathifolia var. lanata. The record is from RNAcentral. Lineage: Eukaryota; Viridiplantae; Streptophyta; Magnoliopsida; Caryophyllales; Polygonaceae.
AAAAGCGCAUUUGAUUAUCUAACUAAUUAUCCUCUUUUUUUGUUAACGGUUAAAAUCAAAAUUGGGUCUCUUCCUCCACAAAGGUAUUCGAGCAGAAAAUUGUUGAUCUUAUCAACAGUCUUGUGAUAUAAAUUAUACAUGAAUUUGAGCAAGGAGUACUCCACUCAUUUGAAUGAUCCCCAAUACAUAUCAUUACUCGUACUAAGACUUACAUACAAAGUCUUCCUUUUCAAGAUCCGGGAAAUUCCGGGGCCUAGAUAAGACUUUGUAAUACCCUUUCACCUUUUUAAUUGACAUAGACCCCAGUUUUCUAAUAAAAUGAGUAGAUGAUGCGUA